This 1460-nucleotide long non-coding RNA is filed under the name Chrysemys picta bellii (western painted turtle). RNAcentral describes it as "lncRNA (ENSCPBG00000015182.1)". The record is from RNAcentral. Lineage: Eukaryota; Metazoa; Chordata; Testudines; Emydidae.
AAAAAUAGGCCAAAAUCGCAAAUUUUAGAGGGGUGUGUGUGUGUGUGUGUGUGUGUGCUGUUUCUUGACAAAAAAUUGAAAUUGUCAAUUUCACCUUUGGUGAAACUUUCAUUUAGUCAAAACCCCAAUUUUCCAUUGGAACAAAAUGCUGAAGGAAAACUUUAAGCAGCCCUAGUAAUUUCCUGCAAGGCCUUGGUGAGGUGCCUGGCUUGGGUUUCAUUGCUUGUUUUCCAACCCACGACUUUCCACCUCAGCUUGUCUAACUGCAUAGCAUCGGGCUCAGUCCCCACCAUUCAACUUACUCAGCUUUAAGUCUAGUGGUGCUGUCACACCAGUGUGAUGAGAAUUUGUCCAUUGAUUUCAAUGGGAGUUGGAUCAGGACACAUGCUAAAUAUUUUGGGCAUGGAGGACGUGAUCCUUAGGUGUGGCUUAGCCAUGCGGGGUGCAGGACCUGCAAAGUCUGGGAGGAUAAAGGUGACUAGGGGUCACUGAAAAUGUUCUGUCAAAAUUGUUUUUCAAGAAAAUUUCGGUUUUCAACAAAACUUUUUGUUUUUCCUUUUGGUGUAAAAAUUGGGAUUGUUCAUAGAAGAAACAAAUAUCCAAAAAGUUUUGGUUUUCAUCUGAAAACACUGGGCUUUCUCUUUCUUCCUUUCUUCUUUUCUUUCUUUUCAAAAAGUUGAAGUUCUCCAUGGAAAAGAAAUGUAAUUUUUGAUGAGCUUUAAAGCUGACCCAUUUCCAUGCUAUAUGCUCUUUCAGUCGUUUCAGGAAAGUGAUGUCAAUGUAGUUUUGAAGGACAUUGCCAGAAGGACAAAGGCUUGGCUUGGUACCAGACAUCAGACAGGAAAUGCAGAGGAUGUUUUGCAGCCAAAGAAGUUGGAGGAUGUUCUGCAGUGCCUUAAUCUAAUACUAGCUUUGGUCACAAUUUUCUUGAAACACCCACAGAAAAUACCAUUCAGCCCCGUGAUGACAUCACUGCAGAUUUGGGAAUUGUUCUCUGAAACAGAAGAUUUACUGCAAACCAAAAGGGAUUUUCGGGUCCUUAAGCAGACCCAGGGGCUCAAGGAAUUUAUGAAUGUAGCAGAAUCAUGGAUCCAGGAGUUAUUCCCCAAAUCGUCUGAACAGGAAAAAGUCUUUUUUCAUUAUAUUGACGUGAGUCCAAAAAAUCCCAGUGAGACUGAUUUUUUCAUUGCUAUUAAAAAUAGUCAACUGAUAGGCUUGUUCUGUUCCUAGAUGUGGGAUCAGCUCAUUUCCGCUGGACUGUUCUGUGAUGAGUGGACCCGGGACUGGCGAAAACAUAUUAAAUCUUUGUUUGCAGAGUGGCUAAAAAGGGUGAGUUGACUAAUUGACAAUCAGAAAGAUGGUCUUUCCCUCACAGAACUUAAACGGAGAUACAGACAGAUGGGGAAGACAGCAGUGGGAUGAUUAUUAUUGGAAGAAUAAACAACAGUAGCUGCGUACCA